Molecule: ribosomal RNA, 459 nt
Filed under: uncultured bacterium
Lineage: Bacteria
Description: partial 16S ribosomal RNA
Rfam family: Bacterial small subunit ribosomal RNA
Source: RNAcentral
UAGGGAAUCUUCGGCAAUGGACGAAAGUCUGACCGAGCAACGCCGCGUGAGUGAAGAAGGUUUUCGGAUCGUAAAACUCUGUUGGUAGAGAAGAACGUUGGUGAGAGUGGAAAGCUCAUCAAGUGACGGUAACUACCCAGAAAGGGACGGCUAACUACGUGCCAGCAGCCGCGGUAAUACGUAGGUCCCGAGCGUUGUCCGGAUUUAUUGGGCGUAAAGCGAGCGCAGGUGGUUUAUUAAGUCUGGUGUAAAAGGCAGUGGCUCAACCAUUGUAUGCAUUGGAAACUGGUAGACUUGAGUGCAGGAGAGGAGAGUGGAAUUCCAUGUGUAGCGGUGAAAUGCGUAGAUAUAUGGAGGAACACCGGUGGCGAAAGCGGCUCUCUGGCCUGUAACUGACACUGAGGCUCGAAAGCGUGGGGAGCAAACAGGAUUAGAUAGCCCUGGUAGUCCACCGGCGUA